GAUGAACGCUAGCGGCAGGCCUAAUACAUGCAAGUCGAGCGAACACACGAGUGGGUUGCUCCUCUGUCUGUACCGCCGGACGCGCGCGGAACACGUACACAACCUACAUAUAAGAAUUGGAUAACGUCGAGAAACCGAAGCUAAUACCAGUUAAUAUAUGUAACCGCUUGCUUCAUUAGUGUAAGACGGAUUUUCUAUCACUUAUAGAUGGAGCGGCGCCGCAUUAGCUAGUUGGUAAGGUAACGGCUUACCAAGGCGACGAUGCGUAGCGGACCUGAGAGGGGGAUCGGCCACACUGGAACUGAGACACGGUCCAGACUCCUACGGGAGGCAGCAGUAGGGAAUCUUCCGCAAUGGGCGAAAGCCUGACGGAACACCGCCGCGUGGGUGAUGAAGGUCUUCGGAUCGUAAAACUCUGUUAUUAGGGAAGAACAAAUGUGUAAGUAACUAUGCACGUCUUGACGGUACCUAAUCAGAAAGCCACGGCUAACUACGUG
Molecule: ribosomal RNA, 497 nt
Filed under: uncultured bacterium
Lineage: Bacteria
Description: partial 16S ribosomal RNA
Rfam family: Bacterial small subunit ribosomal RNA
Source: RNAcentral